This is a long non-coding RNA of Thalassophryne amazonica, 255 nucleotides long. RefSeq lists it as uncharacterized. The transcript is spliced from 2 exons. The record is from RefSeq and is a predicted model, not a curated record. NCBI's taxonomy places the organism in Eukaryota, Metazoa, Chordata, Actinopteri, Batrachoidiformes, Batrachoididae.
AAAGGAACCAUUUGUCUGUUUAGAGUGUGGUAAAACAUUUGGAGAAGAAAGCAGUCUGAAUAAACAUGCAAGAUUUCAUACAGGGGAAAAACCAUUUGCGUGUUCUGACUGUGGUAAAAGAUUUGGAGAAAAAAGUAAUCUGAGCAGACACAUGAGAAUUCACACAGGAGAGAAACCAUUUGUCUGCUCUGAGUGUGAUAAAAGAUUUAGAGAAAAAGGCAACUGGAAAACGCAUAUGAGAAUUCAUACAGGAGA